UGGGGAAUAUUGCACAAUGGGCGAAAGCCUGAUGCAGCGACGCCGCGUGAGGGAUGACGGCCUUCGGGUUGUAAACCUCUUUCAGCAGGGAAGAAGCGAAAGUGACGGUACCUGCAGAAGAAGCGCCGGCUAACUACGUGCCAGCAGCCGCGGUAAUACGUAGGGCGCAAGCGUUGUCCGGAAUUAUUGGGCGUAAAGAGCUCGUAGGCGGCUUGUCACGUCGGGUGUGAAAGCCCGGGGCUUAACCCCGGGUCUGCAUCCGAUACGGGCAGGCUAGAGUGUGGUAGGGGAGAUCGGAAUUCCUGGUGUAGCGGUGAAAUGCGCAGAUAUCAGGAGGAACACCGGUGGCGAAGGCGGAUCUCUGGGCCAUUACUGACGCUGAGGAGCGAAAGCGUGGGGAGCGAACAGG
RNAcentral lists this ribosomal RNA (409 nucleotides) under uncultured Paracoccaceae bacterium. Its description in RNAcentral is "bacterial SSU rRNA". It matches the Rfam family "Bacterial small subunit ribosomal RNA", at positions 355 to 776 of the family's 1533-position model. Lineage: Bacteria; Pseudomonadati; Pseudomonadota; Alphaproteobacteria; Rhodobacterales; Paracoccaceae. The record is from RNAcentral. RNAcentral also lists the same sequence under 1 other name.